CUUGUGGACUGUUCCUCCAAUGAACGCACUUGUAAUUAUGAUGGAAGCCUUUGUACCUGUCUGUGAAUGUAAGCUCUGCUUCUUCCCUCUCUGCCAAAACCCAACUAACAGGGACUGACCGGCCACAGAGCUACGUGUGUGGGGCCUGCUGGGCACACUCAGAGUCGCCUCACUGCACCCUGAAAGCUGCCCAGCCGUGCAGGGCCCUUCUCCCAAGGAUGGCCGUGACACUGAGGCUCAACGAGGUCUGGGGCCUUAGCCAUCUGUUGAGUGGCCAAAAUUCAAGCCCAAGUCCAUCUGGGGUUACGUCCAGUACUCUUCCAAGCCUCCAUGAAAAACCUUCUGACCAAAUCCUCCCUGUGUCCAUUCUAGAUACUGCCCAGAAGGACACCAUGAGAACCUAGAGCAGCCCAGGAGAUUCGCCUAGAAGGACGUCCUGGGACAUGUUCUCCCCUGGGUUCUCACUGUUCUAAUUUUAACCAGGUGGGUCUCUUCACGAGCUCUUAGCUUUGGUGUCUGUAAAGCAGAGGGAGUGGUUCCCUAAGCCACUUCCUGUGCUGCACCUUCACCCGUGACUGUCUGUGUACAUCUGAAGGCAGGAGCGCUUGGUUCUGGGUCUCAGUCUGAUGGUAACUGCCCACAGAUUCGUUGUGCCUGAGCCUAGCCUGCUCCCCAAGGAGGGACACCAGGCCCACUUCCUCUACCCCAAGCUCUUGGCUGCUGUCUGCUUUCUCAUCUGUCCAACCUGGACUGGGGAAGCUGACCCUGGCUCUGUAGGUGUCACCACAUCCCUGCGACCACGUCACAGGUCAGACCUGCCCGAGGCUUCCACACAGGUGCUAGUGAACAGACUCAGUGGAGGGGCACGGGGCGCACUCUGGCUUGGGGAAUCGAGGACAGCCUUGAGAAGGAAGAAAGGGGAGAAGCAGCCUUUGGUGCUGGCUGGGAGGCUGGCAGAGGCUGAGGGCGCGUGGUCAGCCCCAGCUCAGGGGCAAGAGCACCGAAGGCUGCAGACACUUGGCUGUAAGUCCCACACGACUCACUGCCUUGGAACUAAUCCUCUUAGCUGGUUGAAGGGAUGUGAGUUUUGGGAUCCAACAGAUCUGGCCUUAGAAAACACGUGA
This 1124-nucleotide long non-coding RNA is filed under the name Oryctolagus cuniculus (rabbit). Its description in RNAcentral is "lncRNA (ENSOCUG00000039284.1)". The record is from RNAcentral. Lineage: Eukaryota; Metazoa; Chordata; Mammalia; Lagomorpha; Leporidae.